RNAcentral lists this ribosomal RNA (372 nucleotides) under uncultured bacterium. RNAcentral describes it as "bacterial SSU rRNA". It matches the Rfam family "Bacterial small subunit ribosomal RNA", at positions 524 to 898 of the family's 1533-position model. The record is from RNAcentral.
GACGAAGGAUGCAAGCGUUAUCCGGAUUCAUUGGGUUUAAAGGGAGCGUAGGUGGCCUUAUAAGUCAGUGGUGAAAUCUCUGGGCUUAACCCAGAAAUUGCCAUUGAUACUGUAGGGCUUGAGUAUAGAUGCCGUUGGCGGAAUAUGACAUGUAGUGGUGAAAUACAUAGAGAUGUCAUAGAACACCGAUUGCGAAGGCAGCUAACGAAACUAUAACUGACACUGAGGCUCGAAAGUGUGGGGAUCAAACAGGAUUAGAUACCCUGGUAGUCCACACUGUAAACGAUGAUUACUCGCUGCUAGAGGGCAACUUUUAGUGGCUUAGCGAAAGCGAUAAGUAAUCCACCUGGGGAGUACGCCGGCAACGGUGAA